This 111-nucleotide microRNA precursor is filed under the name Ovis aries (sheep). RNAcentral's name for it is "miRNA (ENSOARG00000023051.1)". The stretch from base 7 to 92 matches the Rfam family "mir-590 microRNA precursor family". The record is from RNAcentral. Lineage: Eukaryota; Metazoa; Chordata; Mammalia; Artiodactyla; Bovidae.
UCCUGUAGCCAAUCAGAAAUGAGCUUAUUUAUAAAAGUACAGUAUAAUCCAGUAAACCUGUAAUUUUAUGUAUAAGUUAGUCUCUGAUUGAAAAAUGCAGCAGACGUCAUC